Molecule: long non-coding RNA, 985 nt
Organism: Eucalyptus grandis
Lineage: Eukaryota; Viridiplantae; Streptophyta; Magnoliopsida; Myrtales; Myrtaceae
Exons: 4
Source: RefSeq, a predicted model, not a curated record
ACCGCGAGACCUAGCUCCCUCCCUCUUUCCGACCGGCGAACCACCGCACGGGACCGGCGAGAGGACCGCGAGCAAUCGACGAACCACUACACGGGACUGGCGAGAGGACCGCGACCUCCCCUCUCUCUGCCCUCCCUCUUUCCGACCGGCGAACCACCGCGAGCAAAUCAGAUGUUUUUGUAGAGAUCUCCCAUCGUCGCCUUCAUCUUCUUUUCCCCCCUUUUUUUGUUUUGUUGGUUUUUUCCCCUAGUGUUCUGAUGAUGGAUCUGGAGUUGCAUAUGCUCGACGGCUUCUUCGGCGACCUCCCUGAGGCCAGCGACGUCAUCGGCGCUUGCUCCUCGACGAACGCGUUGUCAUCGUCUCCAGACUCGGGGCUCUCGUGGUUCAUCGAGAACAUCCUGAUGAAGGACAACGAGGACGGCAGAGUUGCCGGUGGCGGGAUUAGGGCUGAUUCGAGCCAGGAGUUCUGCGAUAGGUUCCUCGCUGACGUGCUCGUUGACUCCCCGGAGAUGGGUCCGCGGAGAUAGCUGACGGGUCCGGCGACAAGGAGGAGCCUGGAUCGUCAUCCGACGGCUGGGUCGAGGCUGCGAAGGUUGAUGGGGCUAACGUUGGUGGUGAAGCCUAUGAUCCUGCUUCUAAGAAGCUCAGGAGACGGCUCAUGGUCUCCACCUUCUACAAUUUCUUCAUGUGGAAUAGGGUGGGGAGCAAAGGCUGGAGGAGAAUUGACAGACUUCGUUAUGGUGUUGAGAACAACUGAGGCUGUGAAGACAUUUGGUGGUACUGCUCAUUUUUCAGUUGGGGCUAGUUUGAGUGCAGUAGUUGGUCCCAUUGGAAGGGCUGCUGAAGCUGAUGUAUGAGCGGGGGAUGGUGGCUGUUCUGCUUGUUAUACGUACAGCUACAGUAAAGGUGCUUUUGUUGGAUGCUCCCUUCAAGGCAGUGUGGUGACAACGCCGACAAGAGAAAAUUGCCAAUUUUAUGGCAGCCG